AUAUGGAGAUUUUGAAAAUAAUAAAUGUUGGGCCUUUUUCUUUUUUUGCCUUCAGAGUCAGAUUUCCAUUCCUCUGCACCCAUGUGGAAUUCAAAUUAAAAAGACAAGAGAUUGAGGAGGAGAGAAAGAAAGAAAGAAACAAAGAAGAGGGGGAAAAAAGAAAGAAAAAACAAAGGGGUAUCCAUAAAGAUGUUCAGUCUUGUGACAGACUGGAAAAACAGAACCAACCAUGGACUGACCAAAGGGGUACGGAAUAUUUGUGCAUCAGUACUUGAGAGCACCUCCCUGCAGCGAUCACAAGACUUGAUAAGCAUGGCUGUCAUCACAGUGAGUAAAACAUUGCAUCCAAUAUGGGUAGCUUCCAGAAAAUGCUGUUACUUAGUUCAUUUUCUUAUUGC
This 398-nucleotide long non-coding RNA is filed under the name Numida meleagris (helmeted guineafowl). RNAcentral's name for it is "lncRNA (ENSNMEG00000018692.1)". The record is from RNAcentral. Lineage: Eukaryota; Metazoa; Chordata; Aves; Galliformes; Numididae.